GUGGGGAAUAUUGGACAAUGGGCGAAAGCCUGAUCCAGCCAUGCCGCGUGUGUGAAGAAGGUCUUCGGAUUGUAAAGCACUUUAAGUUGGGAGGAAGGGCAUUAACCUAAUACGUUAGUGUUUUGACGUUACCGACAGAAUAAGCACCGGCUAACUACGUGCCAGCAGCCGCGGUAAUACGUAGGGUGCAAGCGUUAAUCGGAAUUACUGGGCGUAAAGCGUGCGCAGGCGGUUUUGUAAGACAGUGGUGAAAUCCCCGGGCUCAACCUGGGAACUGCCUCCAAAACUGCAUGACUAGAGUACGGUAGAGGGUAGUGGAAUUUCCUGUGUAGCGGUGAAAUGCGUAGAUAUAGGAAGGAACACCAGUGGCGAAGGCGACUACCUGGACUGAUACUGACACUGAGGUGCGAAAGCGUGGGGAGCAAACAGGAUUAGAUACCCGAGUAGUCC
This 450-nucleotide ribosomal RNA is filed under the name uncultured bacterium. RNAcentral's name for it is "partial 16S ribosomal RNA". It matches the Rfam family "Bacterial small subunit ribosomal RNA", at positions 354 to 796 of the family's 1533-position model. The record is from RNAcentral.